Molecule: small nuclear RNA, 315 nt
Filed under: Erinaceus europaeus (western European hedgehog)
Lineage: Eukaryota; Metazoa; Chordata; Mammalia; Eulipotyphla; Erinaceidae
Description: 7SK RNA
Rfam family: 7SK RNA
About the family: 7SK was discovered as an abundant small nuclear RNA in the mid-70s but a possible function has only recently been suggested. Two independent studies have found that 7SK RNA binds the CDK9/cyclin T complex (known as elongation factor P-TEFb).
Source: Rfam by way of RNAcentral
CGAUGUGAGGGCGAUUUGGCUGCGACAUCUGUCACCCCAUUGAUUGUCAGGGUUGAAUCGGCUGAUCUGGCUGGCUGGACAGGUGCCCCCUUCCUCUCUCACCACUCCAUGUCUGUCCCUCUGAAAGAGUGAGAAGAGGAUGGCCUUCCCCGAAUAGUGACUGACUGGUCUUCUGUUGAGGGUAUAUGAGUAGCUGCGCUUCCCUGCUAGAACCUCCAAACAAGCUCUCAAGGACAGAAAGAAAUCAAGAGAGACAGGGGGAGAGAAAGAUAGACACCUGCAGUCCUGUUUCUCCACUUGUGGAGUGACACACCU